Small nuclear RNA from Dermacentor silvarum, 183 nucleotides. RefSeq annotates it as U2 spliceosomal RNA. The record is from RefSeq and is a predicted model, not a curated record. The transcript has a single exon. Lineage: Eukaryota; Metazoa; Arthropoda; Arachnida; Ixodida; Ixodidae.
AUGGCUGACGCGGGUCAAAGUGAAUUAUCUGUCCUUGUCAGCUUAAUAUUUGAUACGGCCUGUAUUUGGACCCAAGAUAUUAUACUUAUUUUUGCAAGUUGGUGGAGUGCUCGAAGCCUGCGUCAACUCCGCCGCGGGUAGGCCUGGUAUUGCACUAUCUUCGGGAUUCUUGGUCUACGGACA